CCUACGGGCGGCAGCAGUGGGGAAUAUUGCACAAUGGGCGCAAGCCUGAUGCAGCGACGCCGCGUGCGGGAUGGAGGCCUUCGGGUUGUAAACCGCUUUUGUUCAAGGGCAAGGCACGGUCUUUGGCCGUGUUGAGUGGAUGGUUCGAAUAAGCACCGGCUAACUACGUGCCAGCAGCCGCGGUAAUACGUAGGGUGCAAGCGUUAUCCGGAUUUAUUGGGUUAAAAGGGUGCGUAGGCGGGCUGUUAAGUUAGCGGGAAAAGCGCGGGGCCAAACCCCGGCGAGCCGUUGAAACGGGCUGUCGUGAGAUGUCGAGAGGUAUGCGGAAUGCGCAGUGUAGCGGUGAAAUGCUUAGAUAUUGCGCAGAACUCCGAUUGCGAAGGCAGCAUACCGGCGGCGAUCUGACGCUGAGGCACGAAAGCGUGGGUAUCGAACAGGAUUAGAUACCCCUGUAGUC
Molecule: ribosomal RNA, 457 nt
Filed under: uncultured bacterium
Lineage: Bacteria
Description: partial 16S ribosomal RNA
Rfam family: Bacterial small subunit ribosomal RNA
Source: RNAcentral